UACGAAGGGGGCUAGCGUUGCUCGGAAUUACUGGGCGUAAAGCGCACGUAGGCGGCUUUCUAAGUCGGAGGUGAAAUCCUGGAGCUCAACUCCAGAACUGCCUUCGAUACUGGAGAGCUUGAGUCCGGGAGAGGUGAGUGGAACUGCGAGUGUAGAGGUGAAAUUCGUAGAUAUUCGCAAGAACACCAGUGGCGAAGGCGGCUAUCUGGACCGUAACUGACGCUGAGGCGCGAAAGCGUGGGGAGCAAACAGG
This 253-nucleotide ribosomal RNA is filed under the name uncultured bacterium. RNAcentral describes it as "partial 16S ribosomal RNA". It matches the Rfam family "Bacterial small subunit ribosomal RNA", at positions 524 to 776 of the family's 1533-position model. The record is from RNAcentral.